AGCCUGAACGCUGGCGGCGUGGCUAAGACAUGCAAGUCGCACGGGGUAGCAAUACCCAGUGGCGAACGGGAGAGUAAUGAAUCGCUAACGUGCCCCGGACUCUGGGAUAGCCAUCCGAAAGGAUGGGUAAUACCAGAUGACACCACCCUCCGCAUGGCGGGGUGUUCAAAGGUCCGCCGGU
This 181-nucleotide ribosomal RNA is filed under the name uncultured soil bacterium. RNAcentral's name for it is "partial 16S ribosomal RNA". It matches the Rfam family "Bacterial small subunit ribosomal RNA", at positions 26 to 219 of the family's 1533-position model. The record is from RNAcentral.